RNAcentral lists this ribosomal RNA (252 nucleotides) under uncultured bacterium. Its description in RNAcentral is "partial 16S ribosomal RNA". It matches the Rfam family "Bacterial small subunit ribosomal RNA", at positions 524 to 776 of the family's 1533-position model. The record is from RNAcentral.
UACGAAGGGGGCUAGCGUUGCUCGGAAUCACUGGGCGUAAAGGGUGCGUAGGCGGGUCUUUAAGUCAGGGGUGAAAUCCUGGAGCUCAACUCCAGAACUGCCUUUGAUACUGAGGAUCUUGAGUUCGGGAGAGUGAGUGGAACUGCGAGUGUAGAGGUGAAAUUCGUAGAUAUUCGCAAGAACACCAGUGGCGAAGGCGGCUCACUGGCCCGAUACUGACGCUGAGGCACGAAAGCGUGGGGAGCAAACAGG